CUGGCGGUAGGCCUAACACAUGCAAGUCGAACGGCAGCACAGUAAGAGCUUGCUCUUAUGGGUGGCGAGUGGCGGACGGGUGAGGAAUACAUCGGAAUCUACCUUUUCGUGGGGGAUAACGUAGGGAAACUUACGCUAAUACCGCAUACGACCUUCGGGUGAAAGCAGGGGACCUUCGGGCCUUGCGCGGAUAGAUGAGCCGAUGUCGGAUUAGCUAGUUGGCGGGGUAAAGGCCCACCAAGGCGACGAUCCGUAGCUGGUCUGAGAGGAUGAUCAGCCACACUGGAACUGAGACACGGUCCAGACUCCUACGGGAGGCAGCAGUGGGGAAUAUUGGACAAUGGGCGCAAGCCUGAUCCAGCCAUACCGCGUGGGUGAAGAAGGCCUUCGGGUUGUAAAGCCCUUUUGUUGGGAAAGAAAAGCAAUCGAUUAAUACCCGGUUGUUCUGACGGUACCCAAAGAAUAAGCACCGGCUAACUUCGUGCCAGCAGCCGCGGUAAUACGAAGGGUGCAAGCGUUACUCGGAAUUACUGGGCGUAAAGCGUGCGUAGGUGGUUGUUUAAGUCUGUUGUGAAAGCCCUGGGCUCAACCUGGGAAUUGCAGUGGAUACUGGGCAACUAGAGUGUGGUAGAGGGUAGUGGAAUUCCCGGUGUAGCAGUGAAAUGCGUAGAGAUCGGGAGGAACAUCCAUGGCGAAGGCAGCUACCUGGACCAACACUGACACUGAGGCACGAAAGCGUG
RNAcentral lists this ribosomal RNA (740 nucleotides) under uncultured bacterium. Its description in RNAcentral is "bacterial SSU rRNA". It matches the Rfam family "Bacterial small subunit ribosomal RNA", at positions 36 to 763 of the family's 1533-position model. The record is from RNAcentral.